UACAGAGGUCUCAAGCGUUGUUCGGAUUCAUUGGGCGUAAAGGGUGCGUAGGCGGCGCGGUAAGGCGGGUGUGAAAUCUCGGAGCUUAACUCCGAAACUGCAUUCGAUACUGCCGUGCUUGAGGACUGGAGAGGAGACUGGAAUUUACGGUGUAGCGGUGAAAUGCGUAGAUAUCGUAAGGAAGACCAGUGGCGAAGGCGGGUCUCUGGACAGUUCCUGACGCUGAGGCACGAAGGCCAGGGGAGCAAACGGG
RNAcentral lists this ribosomal RNA (253 nucleotides) under uncultured bacterium. RNAcentral describes it as "partial 16S ribosomal RNA". It matches the Rfam family "Bacterial small subunit ribosomal RNA", at positions 524 to 776 of the family's 1533-position model. The record is from RNAcentral.